UGCCAGCAGCCGCGGUAAUACGGAGGGGGUUAGCGUUGUUCGGAAUUACUGGGCGUAAAGCGUGCGUAGGCGGUUUACUAAGUCAAAUCUGAAAGCCCUCGGCUUAACCGAGGAGGGUGAUUUGAAACUGGUAGACUUGAGUACGGCAGAGGUUAGUGGAAUUCAAUGUGUAGAGGUGAAAUUCGUAGAUAUUCGGUGGAACACCAGUGGCGAAGGCGGCUAACUGGCUCGGUACUGACGCUGAGAUGCGAAAGCGUGGGGAGCAAACAGGAUUAGAUA
RNAcentral lists this ribosomal RNA (279 nucleotides) under uncultured bacterium. RNAcentral's name for it is "partial 16S ribosomal RNA". It matches the Rfam family "Bacterial small subunit ribosomal RNA", at positions 506 to 784 of the family's 1533-position model. The record is from RNAcentral.